Molecule: non-coding RNA, 928 nt
Organism: Pelobates cultripes (western spadefoot toad)
Lineage: Eukaryota; Metazoa; Chordata; Amphibia; Anura; Pelobatidae
Source: the annotation of a GenBank genome assembly
CACACUAGGGGGGAGCGACAAGGGGGGACAUAUUUACGUGGGACAGUCCACCCCUUACUGACUCACCGACCUAGACAGCUGAGUCUGACACUGUACAUAGUUCUCACCUUGUUUAACUCUGUUAUUCUAUAACAGGUCUACUGACGACCCUCUAUCUACGACCACCUUUUUUUUUCUCUCUCUCUCUCCCUCCUUCUUCUUCUCUUUUCUCCCGCCCCUGACACCUCGCCGCCCGCCCCUGCGCGGCGGCACCAGCUCUCAUGACCUCCCGGGGCCGAGAGGGGUUCGCCCCGGCGCCUCUGCGCAUCUGGUCCAACAACGUCCGGGGCCUGAACCUGCCAGAACGGAGAUCACAUUUACUACGGGCACUUUGGUCCAAUAGAAUCUCUGUGGCCUUCAUCCAGGAGACACACUUCCGCGGACAGACGACCGGCCCUCCGAGACCGACGGUUCCCCACUGGAUAUUUUGCUAACCAUAGGGAAGCCAAGAAGGCAGGAGUGGCCAUUCUCUUCGCCGCGCAUGUCCCCUUCGUGUGUGCGGAGGUCAAGGCCGACCCACUGGGACGCUACAUCUUCCUCAAGGGCUCCAUUGCAGACAGGCGCUACACCUUUGCCUCCAUAUAUGCGCCCAACACCCGACAACACAGUUUUCUCACCAGAACCCUAAAAUCGCUGGAACACUUCAGGGAGGGGCUCCUAAUUCUAACCGGGGACCUCAACAUACCAUUGGAUCCGCGGACGGACACCUCCCGGGGACGCUGCUCGCUGCCGGACGCAAGCAUCAAAGCGGCACAAUUGGCACUCAGAACGGCGGGCCUUGCGGAUUGCUGGAGAGUCAUGCACCCAGAGGCCAAGGAUUUUACAUACUUCUCCCCGGUGCACCGCGGCUACAGCCGCUUAGACUAUGUCUUUAUUGCACAAGAAUACC